CAGCACCUCAAGUGGUCAGGAUGAUUAUUGGGCCUAAAGCAUCCGUAGCCGGCUCUGUAAGUUUUCGGUUAAAUCUGUACGCUCAACGUACAGGCUGCCGGGAAUACUGCAGAGCUAGGGAGUGGGAGAGGUUGACGGUACUCGGUAGGAAGGGGUAAAAUCCUUUGAUCUAUUGAUGACCACCUGUGGCGAAGGCGGUCUACCAGAACACGUCCGACGGUGAGGGAUGAAAGCUGGGGGAGCAAACCGGAUUAGAUACCCGAGUAGUCC
RNAcentral lists this ribosomal RNA (270 nucleotides) under uncultured archaeon. RNAcentral's name for it is "partial 16S ribosomal RNA". It matches the Rfam family "Archaeal small subunit ribosomal RNA", at positions 477 to 747 of the family's 1478-position model. The record is from RNAcentral.